CCCUUAGAUGUUCUGGGCCGCACGCGCGCUACACUGAUUCAUACAACAAGUUUUGUCCUUGGCUGAUAGGCCUGGGUAAUCUUUGAACGUGAAUCGUGAUGGGGAUAGAUGAUUGCAAUUAUUCAUCUUCAACGAGGAAUUCCUAGUAAACGCAAGUCAUCAGCUUGCAUUGAUUACGUCCCUGCCCUUUGUACACACCGCCCGUCGCACCUACCGAUUGAAUGGUCCGGUGAAAUCUUCGGAUCUGAGAGAUGUCUGAUUAAUUUCGGACGCCUUUUGGAAAAGUUGUUUAAACCUUACCAUUUAGAGGAAGGUGAANUCGUAACA
This 327-nucleotide ribosomal RNA is filed under the name uncultured eukaryote. Its description in RNAcentral is "partial 18S ribosomal RNA". It matches the Rfam family "Eukaryotic small subunit ribosomal RNA", at positions 1470 to 1796 of the family's 1831-position model. The record is from RNAcentral.